UGAAUGAUAGAAUAAAGAGAUACUGACUUCCCUGGAGCCUCCAAACUUGAGUAGUCAGGCAUUGGGAUCCGUGGAAGGCUUGUUAAAUCCAAAUAGAUUGGUCCUACUCCAUCCGCAGAGUUGCUGACGAGGUGCGUCCAGGCCUUCUCCUCACCUCUCAGGGAGAUAUACCAUGCAGUGCCUUCAGUUAUGGUGUUGUGACUGAGGAUGCUUCGGUCAGACAUGUCCCUGAAAACCUGCAUAGAGCUGCACUUCAAGGGAAGUUAUUGAAUAUGUCCUAUCCAACUAAAACAAGGAAAUGAUGAAAAAAAUAAAAUCACUUUCCAGAGGCCUCAGGGCUAACUGGAGACAGAGCUCAGACUGCAGCUGAGAAAAGUUGGACUCCAAAACCUGUACUCUGAGCUUUACUGCAUGAGAAAGUUAUUGAAAUGUGCCUUGUGACAUUCAGAAUAAGUGACUUUUCAGAGGUCUCAGAGUCAGUAAGAGACAGAACUCAGAUUGUAACCAAGAAGAACUGAACUCCAAACUUCUGUGUCCGGAAUUGGUGGGUUCUUGGUCUCACUGACUUCAAGAAUGAAGCCGCAGACCCUCGCGGGCCAGGUCUGCUCAGCAACUCAGUAUGUUGACUUUAUUUCCUGAGAGAGAAACAGAGAGAAGAAAAGAAAGAGGAGGA
RNAcentral lists this long non-coding RNA (673 nucleotides) under Pan troglodytes (chimpanzee). RNAcentral describes it as "lincRNA". Lineage: Eukaryota; Metazoa; Chordata; Mammalia; Primates; Hominidae. The record is from RNAcentral.